RNAcentral lists this ribosomal RNA (291 nucleotides) under Triticum aestivum (bread wheat). Its description in RNAcentral is "partial small subunit ribosomal RNA". Lineage: Eukaryota; Viridiplantae; Streptophyta; Magnoliopsida; Poales; Poaceae. The record is from RNAcentral.
AUGCAGGCGUGGAGCUUAAGGAAGGAUGGGAAAGUGAUGGAUCUAAUCGACUCAUCUAUCAUCAAGGGUUGCUCUCUCGUUGAAGCUUUACGAUGCAUCCAUAUCGGACUCUUGUCGGUGCAGGAUGACCCAGAUGCUCACCCUCUCAUGUCUUGGGUGGUAGCAAGCCUGGAUAACGAAGACAUUGAGAUCCCACAACCGAAAGAACCUAUGUGCUUUGCACACCGUAACUACAGAGCCAGCGAAAGCCAUGUACAUGACAUGAGCCUCGAAAACCUCAAGGAGUGCUAG